Molecule: ribosomal RNA, 449 nt
Filed under: Clostridioides difficile
Lineage: Bacteria; Bacillati; Bacillota; Clostridia; Peptostreptococcales; Peptostreptococcaceae
Description: bacterial LSU rRNA
Rfam family: Bacterial large subunit ribosomal RNA
Source: RNAcentral
UCAGGUGGCCGCAGAGAAUAGGCCCAAGCGACUGUUUACCAAAAACAUAGGUUUCUGCUAAGUCGCAAGACGAUGUAUAGGAGCUGACGCCUGCCCGGUGCUGGAAGGUUAAGGGGAUCUGUUAGAGCAAUCGAAGCAGUGAACUUAAGCCCCAGUAAACGGCGGCCGUAACUAUAACGGUCCUAAGGUAGCGAAAUUCCUUGUCGGGUAAGUUCCGACCCGCACGAAAGGCGUAACGAUUUGGGCACUGUCUCAACAACAGACUCGGUGAAAUUGUAAUUCCGGUGAAGAUGCCGGAUACCUGCGACAGGACGGAAAGACCCCAUGGAGCUUUACUGUAGCUUGACAUUGGGUCUUGGUACUACAUGUACAGGAUAGGUGGGAGGCUUUGAAACCAGGACGCCAGUUUUGGCGGAGCCAUCCUUGGGAUACCACCCUUGUAGUACUGG